GCGGGUGUAGCUCAAGGGUAGAGCACGCGCCUUCCAAGCCUGAGAUCCGGGUUCGAGUCCCGGUACCCGCUCCA
This 74-nucleotide transfer RNA is filed under the name Actinomycetota bacterium. RNAcentral's name for it is "tRNA-Gly". It matches the Rfam family "tRNA". From Rfam's summary of the family: Transfer RNA (tRNA) molecules are approximately 80 nucleotides in length. Their secondary structure includes four short double-helical elements and three loops (D, anti-codon, and T loops). Further hydrogen bonds mediate the characteristic L-shaped molecular structure. tRNAs have two regions of fundamental functional importance: the anti-codon, which is responsible for specific mRNA codon recognition, and the 3' end, to which the tRNAs corresponding amino acid is attached (by aminoacyl-tRNA synthetases). tRNAs cope with the degeneracy of the genetic code in two manners: having more than one tRNA (with a specific anti-codon) for a particular amino acid; and 'wobble' base-pairing, i.e. permitting non-standard base-pairing at the 3rd anti-codon position. Lineage: Bacteria; Bacillati; Actinomycetota. The record is from RNAcentral.